Pogoniulus pusillus (Red-fronted tinkerbird) is the source of this 747-nucleotide long non-coding RNA. RefSeq lists it as uncharacterized. The record is from RefSeq and is a predicted model, not a curated record. Lineage: Eukaryota; Metazoa; Chordata; Aves; Piciformes; Lybiidae. The transcript has 2 exons.
AGCUGAGCACAGACAUUGCUUUGGCCCAGAGCCGCUCGCAGUGGCGCCUGGAGGACCUCGGAGGCCUAGAGCGGCUUUGACCAGCGAGAGGAGAGCCCAGAGCGUCGCCUGACAGCCGGAAGUGACGGCACGGAGGCAAGAUGGCGGCGCGGAGCGAGCUGCUGCGGCUGGAGGUGCUGCUGCCGCUGCCUGCUGGCCUGGCACAGGUGGCACUGAGGGCGCUGGGCCCAGGCCUGCAGCCCCAGCCCGGCCCGGGGGGAGGCCUCAGCAGCGCCCCCGGGCCAGGCUGCAGUGCUGCGGGGACAAGCUGAGGGCCUGAGUGGGCACUGGGGGGCGCUGGGCGGGGACGGGGAGGGGCUGGGGGAUUAGUGGGGGCAUACAAGGAGGUGAGUGGGGGUCUCUGGGAGGCCAGUGGGCGGGUCUGGGGGUCCCUGGGAGGUCCCUAGGAGGGUCUCGGGGUCCCUGGGUGGGUCUGAGGGUCCCUGACAGGUCCCUGGGAGGGUCUGGGGGUCCCUGAGCCCUCCCCCCGCAGGCUCUGGGUCUCCCGGGGGGCUGGAGGCCUGCGGGGGGAGGUCUCCUCCUUCCUGGAGCUGCUGGGGCUGUGCUGGAGACCAUCGAGCACUUCGGUGGGGCGGGGCAGGGGCAGGCCCCGCCCAGGCCAGAGGAUGCACCAAUCAGCUGCUGACCCUCCCCGUCCUAACCAGUUCCCCCCCCCCCCCAAUAAAGCACCAAACUCUGCCAGGUGGA